Molecule: ribosomal RNA, 500 nt
Filed under: Clostridium sp. JC309
Lineage: Bacteria; Bacillati; Bacillota; Clostridia; Eubacteriales; Clostridiaceae
Description: bacterial SSU rRNA
Rfam family: Bacterial small subunit ribosomal RNA
Source: RNAcentral
GCGAAGCAGUUUUAAGGAAGUUUUCGGAUGGAAUUAAAACUGACUGAGCGGCGGACGGGUGAGUAACGCGUGGGUAACCUGCCUCAUACAGGGGGAUAACAGUUGGAAACGACUGCUAAUACCGCAUAAGCGCACAGUGCUGCAUAGCACAGUGUGAAAAACUCCGGUGGUAUGAGAUGGACCCGCGUCUGAUUAGGUAGUUGGUGGGGUAACGGCCCACCAAGCCGACGAUCAGUAGCCGACCUGAGAGGGUGACCGGCCACAUUGGGACUGAGACACGGCCCAAACUCCUACGGGAGGCAGCAGUGGGGAAUAUUGGACAAUGGGGGAAACCCUGAUCCAGCGACGCCGCGUGAGUGAAGAAGUGUUUCGGCAUGUAAAGCUCUAUCAGCAGGGAAGAAAAUGACGGUACCUGACUAAGAAGCCCCGGCUAACUACGUGCCAGCAGCCGCGGUAAUACGUAGGGGGCAAGCGUUAUCCGGAUUUACUGGGUGUAAAGG